Molecule: ribosomal RNA, 371 nt
Filed under: uncultured eukaryote
Lineage: Eukaryota
Description: partial 18S ribosomal RNA
Rfam family: Eukaryotic small subunit ribosomal RNA
Source: RNAcentral
CAAUAGCGUAUAUUAAAGUUGUUGCAGUUAAAAAGCUCGUAGUUGAAUUUUUGCUUGCCGCCGAUGUCGGAACUUCCGUACGUUCGGCGGCGUGCAUCCUUGGGUGGAACCUGUGUGGCAUUAGGUUGUCGUGCAGGGGAUGCUCAUCGUUUACUGUGAAAAAAUUAGAGUGUUUAAAGCAGGCCUUCGCCUUGAAUACAUUAGCAUGGAAUAAUAAGAUAGGACUUUGGUCUAUUUUGUUGGUUUGCAGACCGAAGUAAUGAUUAAUAGGGAUAGUUGGGGGUAUUUAUAUUCCGAUGUCAGAGGUGAAAUUCUUAGAUUUUCGGAAGAUAAACUUAUGCGAAAGCAUUUACCAAGGAUGUUUUCAUUAA